AGUGAACGCUGGCGGUAGGCCUAACACAUGCAAGUCGAACGGCAGCACAGUAAGAGCUUGCUCUUACGGGUGGCGAGUGGCGGACGGGUGAGGAAUACAUCGGAAUCUACUUUUUCGUGGGGGAUAACGUAGGGAAACUUACGCUAAUACCGCAUACGACCUACGGGUGAAAGCAGGGGAUCUUCGGACCUUGCGCGAUUGAAUGAGCCGAUGUCGGAUUAGCUAGUUGGCGGGGUAAAGGCCCACCAAGGCGACGAUCCGUAGCUGGUCUGAGAGGAUGAGCAGCCACACUGGAACUGAGACACGGUCCAGACUCGUACGGGAGGCAGCAGUGGGGAAUAUUGGACAAUGGGCGCAAGCCUGAUCAAGCCAUGCCGCGUGGGUGAAGAAGGCCUUCGGGUUGUAAAGCCCUUUUGUUGGGAAAGAAAAGCAGCAGGUUAAUACCCCGCUGUUCUGACGGUACCCAAAGAAUAAGCACCGGAUAACUUCG
This 490-nucleotide ribosomal RNA is filed under the name uncultured bacterium. RNAcentral's name for it is "partial 16S ribosomal RNA". It matches the Rfam family "Bacterial small subunit ribosomal RNA", at positions 29 to 505 of the family's 1533-position model. The record is from RNAcentral.